RNAcentral lists this ribosomal RNA (474 nucleotides) under uncultured bacterium. RNAcentral describes it as "bacterial SSU rRNA". It matches the Rfam family "Bacterial small subunit ribosomal RNA", at positions 898 to 1373 of the family's 1533-position model. The record is from RNAcentral.
AACUCAAAGGAAUUGGCGGGGGCCCGCACAAGCGGUGGAGCAUGUGGUUUAAUUCGAUGCAACGCGAAGAACCUUACCUGGUCUUGACAUCCACGGAAGUUUUCAGAGAUGAGAAUGUGCCUUCGGGAACCGUGAGACAGGUGCUGCAUGGCUGUCGUCAGCUCGUGUUGUGAAAUGUUGGGUUAAGUCCCGCAACGAGCGCAACCCCUGGAUUUAGUUGCCAGCAUUAAGUUGGGCACUCUAAAUUAACUGCCAGCGUUAAGCUGGAGGAAGGUGGGGAUGACGUCAAGUCCUCAUGGCCCAUACGCCUAGGGCUACACACGUAAUACAAUGGAUAGGACAAAGGGUCGCGAACUCGCGAGAGGGAGCUAAUCUCAAAAACCUAUCCUCUGUUCGGAUUGGAGGCUGCAAUUCGCCUCCAUGAAGGCGGAAUCGCUAGUAAUCGUGGAUCAGAACGCCACGGUGAAUACGUUC